This 465-nucleotide ribosomal RNA is filed under the name Vreelandella stevensii. RNAcentral's name for it is "partial 16S ribosomal RNA". It matches the Rfam family "Bacterial small subunit ribosomal RNA", at positions 338 to 795 of the family's 1533-position model. The record is from RNAcentral. Lineage: Bacteria; Pseudomonadati; Pseudomonadota; Gammaproteobacteria; Oceanospirillales; Halomonadaceae.
CCUACGGGUGGCUGCAGUGGGGAAUAUUGGACAAUGGGGGCAACCCUGAUCCAGCCAUGCCGCGUGUGUGAAGAAGGCCCUCGGGUUGUAAAGCACUUUCAGUGAGGAAGAACGCCUGGUGGUUAAUACCCAUCAGGAAAGACAUCACUCACAGAAGAAGCACCGGCUAACUCCGUGCCAGCAGCCGCGGUAAUACGGAGGGUGCUAGCGUUAAUCGGAAUUACUGGGCGUAAAGCGCGCGUAGGUGGCUUGAUAAGCCGGUUGUGAAAGCCCCGGGCUCAACCUGGGACCGGCAUCCGGAACUGUCAAGCUAGAGUGCAGGAGAGGAAGGUAGAAUUCCCGGUGUAGCGGUGAAAUGCGUAGAGAUCGGGAGGAAUACCAGUGGCGAAGGCGGCCUUCUGGACUGACACUGACACUGAGGUGCGAAAGCGUGGGUAGCAAACAGGAUUAGAUACCCUAGUAGUC